AAGGAUAGAAGGAUUAUAAUUGAGGCUGCUAACUUUGAUUUGGGCGAUGUUCCAUCCUUA
This 60-nucleotide transfer RNA is filed under the name Deroceras agreste. RNAcentral describes it as "tRNA-Ser". Lineage: Eukaryota; Metazoa; Mollusca; Gastropoda; Stylommatophora; Agriolimacidae. The record is from RNAcentral.